RNAcentral lists this ribosomal RNA (497 nucleotides) under uncultured bacterium. RNAcentral's name for it is "partial 16S ribosomal RNA". It matches the Rfam family "Bacterial small subunit ribosomal RNA", at positions 28 to 507 of the family's 1533-position model. The record is from RNAcentral.
GAUGAACGCUGGCGGCGUGCCUAAUACAUGCAAGUAGAACGCUGAAGGAAGGAGCUUGCUCUUCCCGGAUGAGUUGCGAACGGGUGAGUAACGCGUAGGUAACCUGCCUGGUAGCGGGGGAUAACUAUUGGAAACGAUAGCUAAUACCGCAUAAUAGUAGAUGUUGCAUGAUUUCUACUUAAAAGGCGCAAUUGCACCACUACCAGAUGGACUUGCGUUGUAUUAGCUAGUUGGUGAGGUAACGGCUCACCAAGGCGACGAUACAUUACCGACCUGAGAGGGGGAUCGGCCACACUGGGAAUGAGACACGGCCCAGACUCCUACGGGAGGCAGCAGGAGGGAAACUUCGGCAAUGGACGGAAGUCUGAACGAGCAAAGCCGCGGGAGUGAAGAAGGUUUUCGGAUCGUAAAGCUCUGUUGUAAGAGAAGAACGAGUGGGAGAGUGGAAAGUUCACGCUGUGACGGUAUCUUACCAGAAAGGGACGGCUAACUACGUG